Molecule: ribosomal RNA, 1360 nt
Filed under: uncultured bacterium
Lineage: Bacteria
Description: bacterial SSU rRNA
Rfam family: Bacterial small subunit ribosomal RNA
Source: RNAcentral
AUUGAACGCUGGCGGCAGGCCUAACACAUGCAAGUCCAACGGGAGCACAGAGAGCUUGCUCUCGGGUGACGAGUGGCGGACGGGUGAGUAAUGUCUGGGAAACUGCCCGAUGGAGGGGGAUAACUACUGGAAACGGUAGCUAAUACCGCAUAACGUCGCAAGACCAAAGAGGGGGACCUUCGGGCCUCUUGCCAUCGGAUGUGCCCAGAUGGGAUUAGCUUGUACGCGAGGUAACGGCUCACCUAUGCGACGAUCCCUAGCUGGUCUGAGAGGAUGACCAGCCACAGCUGGAACUGAGACACCGUCCACACUCCUACGGGAGGCAGCAGUGGGGAAUAUUGCACAAUGGGCGCAAGCCUGAUGCAGCCAUGCCGCGUGUAUGAAGAAGGCCUUCCGGUUGUAAAGUACUUUCAGCGUGGAUGAAGGGAGUGAGGAUAAUAACCUCUUUCAUUGACGUUACCCCCAGAAGAAGCACCGGCUAACUCCGUGUCAUCAGCGCCGUAAUACGGAAGGUGCGAGCGUUAAUUUGAAUUACUGGGCGUAAGCGCACGCUGGCGGUCUGUCAAGUCGGAUGUGAAAUCCCCGGGCUCAACCUGGGAACUGCAUUCGAAACUGGCAGGCUGGAGUCUUGUAGAGGGGGGUAGAAUUCCAGGUGUAGCGGUGAAAUGCGUAGAGAUCUGGAGGAAUACCGGUGGCGAAGGCGGCCCCCUGGACAAAGACUGACGCUCAGGUGCGAAAGCGUGGGGAGCAAACGGGAUUAGAUACCCUGGUAGUCCACGCUGUAAACGAUGUCGACUUGGAGGUUGUUCCCUUGAGGAGUGGCUUCCGGAGCUAACGCGUUAAGUCGACCGCCUGGGGAGUACGGCCGCAAGGUUAAAACUCAAAUGAAUUGACGGGGGCCCGCACAAGCGGUGGAGCAUGUGGUUUAAUUCGAUGCAACGCGAAGAACCUUACCUACUCUUGACAUCCAGAGAACUUAGCAGAGAUGCUUUGGUGCCUUCGGGAACUCUGAGACAGGUGCUGCAUGGCUGUCGUCAGCUCGUGUUGUGAAAUGUUGGGUUAAGUCCCGCAACGAGCGCAACCCUUAUCCUUUGUUGCCAGCGAUUCGGUCGGGAACUCAAAGGAGACUGCCAGUGAUAAACUGGAGGAAGGUGGGGAUGACGUCAAGUCAUCAUGGCCCUUACGAGUAGGGCUACACACGUGCUACAAUGGCAUAUACAAAGAGAAGCGACCUCGCGAGAGCAAGCGGACCUCAUAAAGUAUGUCGUAGUCCGGAUUGGAGUCUGCAACUCGACUCCAUGAAGUCGGAAUCGCUAGUAAUCGUGGAUCAGAAUGCCACGGUGAAUACGUUCCCGGGCCU